GGAGGCAGCAGUGAGGAAUUUUGCGCAAUGGGGGAAACCCUGACGCAGCAACGCCGCGUGAGUGAUGAAGGAUUUCGGUUCGUAAAGCUCUGUCGAGUGGGAAGAAACUGUUUGCGGUCAACAGCCGCAGACACUGACGGUACCACCAAAGGAAGCACCGGCUAACUCCGUGCCAGCAGCCGCGGUAAUACGGAGGGUGCAAGCGUUAUUCGGAUUUACUGGGCGUAAAGGGCGCGUAGGCGGCUCGUUAAGUCAGUUGUGAAAGCCCGGGGCUUAACCCCGGAAGUGCGACUGAAACUAGCGGGCUUGAGUAUGGUAGAGGGAAGUGGAAUUCCUGGUGUAGCGGUGAAAUGCGUAGAUAUCAGGAGGAACACCGGUGGCGAAGGCGGCUUCCUGGACCAAUACUGACGCUGAGGCGCGAAGGUGUGGGGAGCAAACAGGAUUAGAUACCCUGGUAGUCCACACAGUAA
Molecule: ribosomal RNA, 470 nt
Filed under: uncultured Desulfosalina sp.
Lineage: Bacteria; Pseudomonadati; Thermodesulfobacteriota; Desulfobacteria; Desulfobacterales; Desulfosalsimonadaceae
Description: bacterial SSU rRNA
Rfam family: Bacterial small subunit ribosomal RNA
Source: RNAcentral